GUCAGUGUGGCCGAGUGGUUAAGGCGUGUGACUUGAACCGUCAACAGUGAACUUGAUCGGUGUUUUCCCACCGCGAAAGUUUUCAGUUUUCACAUUCAAGAACUGAUAUCACAUCUCUUCGGAGGCACAGGUUCGAACCCUGUCGCUGACG
Transfer RNA from Cladophialophora psammophila CBS 110553, 151 nucleotides. It matches the Rfam family "tRNA". From Rfam's summary of the family: Transfer RNA (tRNA) molecules are approximately 80 nucleotides in length. NCBI's taxonomy places the organism in Eukaryota, Fungi, Ascomycota, Eurotiomycetes, Chaetothyriales, Herpotrichiellaceae. The record is from Rfam.